Molecule: ribosomal RNA, 362 nt
Filed under: uncultured microorganism
Description: bacterial SSU rRNA
Rfam family: Bacterial small subunit ribosomal RNA
Source: RNAcentral
GAGUUUGAUCGUGGCUCAGGAUGAACGCUGGCGGCGUGCCUAACACAUGCAAGUCGAACGAAGCAAUCGGGAUGAAGUUUUCGGAUGGAUUCCUGGUUGACUGAGUGGCGGACGGGUGAGUAACGCGUGGAUAACCUGCCUCACACUGGGGGAUAACAGUUAGAAAUGGCUGCUAAUACCGCAUAAGCGCACAGUACCGCAUGGUACGGUGUGAAAAACCCAGGUGGUGUGAGAUGGAUCCGCGUCUGAUUAGCCAGUUGGCGGGGUAACGGCCCACCAAAGCGACGAUCAGUAGCCGACCUGAGAGGUGACCGGCCACAUUGGGACUGAGACACGGCCAAACGUCCUACGGGAGCAGCAGU